GAUAAAGUGUCUGAUAUGUUAGGUUGUAAAUUGUAAAUUUAUAUAAGAAUGAAAAAUUCCUUUAUCA
RNAcentral lists this transfer RNA (67 nucleotides) under Ptilomera tigrina. RNAcentral's name for it is "tRNA-Tyr". The record is from RNAcentral. RNAcentral also lists the same sequence under 1 other name. Lineage: Eukaryota; Metazoa; Arthropoda; Insecta; Hemiptera; Gerridae.